Molecule: ribosomal RNA, 467 nt
Filed under: uncultured bacterium
Lineage: Bacteria
Description: partial 16S ribosomal RNA
Rfam family: Bacterial small subunit ribosomal RNA
Source: RNAcentral
ACGAACGCUGGCGGCGUGCUUAACACCUGCCAGUCGCACGGAAAGGCCCUUCUUUUGUGGGGUGCUCGAGUGGCGAACGGGUGAGUAACACGUGAGUAACCUGCCCUUGACUUUGGGAUAACUUCAGGAAACUGGGGCUAAUACCGGAUAGGAGCUCCUGCUGCAUGGUGGGGGUUGGAAAGUUUCGGCGGUUGGGGAUGGACUCGCGGCUUAUCAGCUUGUUGGUGGGGUAGUGGCUUACCAAGGCUUUGACGGGUAGCCGGCCUGAGAGGGUGACCGGCCACAUUGGGACUGAGAUACGGCCCAGACUCCUACGGGAGGCAGCAGUGGGGAAUAUUGCACAAUGGGCGGAAGCCUGAUGCAGCAACGCCGCGUGCGGGAUGACGGCCUUCGGGUUGUAAACCGCUUUCGCCUGUGACGAAGCGUGAGUGACGGUAAUGGGUAAAGAAGCACCGGCUAACUACGUG